This 492-nucleotide ribosomal RNA is filed under the name uncultured bacterium. RNAcentral's name for it is "partial 16S ribosomal RNA". It matches the Rfam family "Bacterial small subunit ribosomal RNA", at positions 29 to 523 of the family's 1533-position model. The record is from RNAcentral.
AUUGAACGCUGGCGGCAUGCUAUACACAUGCAGUCGAACGGUAACAGGUUAAGCUGACGAGUGGCGAACGGGUGAGUAAUGCAUCGGAACGUGCCCGAUCGUGGGGGAUAACGCAGCGAAAGCUGCGCUAAUACCGCAUACGAUCUGAGGAUGAAAGCGGGGGACCGUAAGGCCUCGCGCGAUCGGAGCGGCCGAUGUCAGAUUAGGUAGUUGGUGGGGUAAAGGCUCACCAAGCCAACGAUCUGUAGCUGGUCUGAGAGGACGACCAGCCACACUGGGACUGAGACACGGCCCAGACUCCUACGGGAGGCAGCAGUGGGGAAUUUUGGACAAUGGGCGAAAGCCUGAUCCAGCAAUGCCGCGUGCAGGAAGAAGGCCUUCGGGUUGUAAACUGCUUUUGUACGGAGCGAAAAGGUCUCCUCUAAUACAGGGGGCUCAUGACGGUACCGUAAGAAUAAGCACCGGCUAACUACGUGCCAGCCGCCGCCGUAA